ACGUGAGCAACCUACCGAAUUGUGGGGGAUAGCCGGCCCAACGGCCGGGUAAUACCGCAUACGCUCGAGACCAGGCAUUUGGACUCGAGGAAAUCUACGGAGCAAUUCGAGGGGCUCGCGGCCUAUCAGCUAGUUGGCGAGGUAACGGCUCACCAAGGCGACGACGGGUAGCUGGUCUGAGAGGAUGGCCAGCCACAUUGGGACUGAGAUACGGCCCAGACUCCUACGGGAGGCAGCAGUGGGGAAUCUUGCGCAAUGGCCUAACGGCUGACGCAGCGACGCCGCGUGAGGGAUGACGCU
Molecule: ribosomal RNA, 300 nt
Filed under: uncultured Gemmatimonadota bacterium
Lineage: Bacteria; Pseudomonadati; Gemmatimonadota
Description: bacterial SSU rRNA
Rfam family: Bacterial small subunit ribosomal RNA
Source: RNAcentral